UGGGGAAUUUUGCACAAUGGGGGAAACCCUGAUGCAGCGACGCCGCGUGAUUUAGAAGGCCUUCGGGUUGUAAAAAUCUUUUCUAUGGGAAGAAAAUGACAGUACCAUAGGAAUAAGGACCGGCUAAUUACGUGCCAGCAGCCGCGGUAAUACGUAAGGUCCGAGCGUUGUCCGGAAUCAUUGGGCGUAAAGGGUACGUAGGCGGGUAAGCAAGUUAGAAGUGAAAUCCUAUAGCUCAACUAUAGUAAGCUUUUAAAACUGCUCAUCUUGAGGUAUGGAAGGGAAAGUGGAAUUCCUAGUGUAGCGGUGAAAUGCGCAGAUAUUAGGAGGAAGACCGGUGGCGAAGGCGACUUUCUGGCCAUAACCUGACGCUGAGGUACGAAAGCGUGGGUAGCAAACAGG
RNAcentral lists this ribosomal RNA (402 nucleotides) under bacterium. RNAcentral's name for it is "partial 16S ribosomal RNA". It matches the Rfam family "Bacterial small subunit ribosomal RNA", at positions 355 to 776 of the family's 1533-position model. The record is from RNAcentral.